AGAAUAAAAUUGAUAACAUUCUGCUUUGAUCUCCUAAUCAGUGACUGUUUGAUGUCGGGAAAAAGUUGGCCUUAAGUUAAUUAGAAAUGUAAAAUUUAAUAUUUCACUCUUUGCACCCCCUUAUCACAAAAAUGUUCUUACAAAGUCCAUCUACUCAGUUUAGACUACUAAUGACAAACACAGCAGGGAGAAAACUCUCCACAGAUUGUUCAACUAGUUUUUUAAAUCCCCAUAUUCUCCAGAAUAGUUGUCCCCAUCAUUUCUUAGUACAAAUAAGAAUAAAAAACAUUUAAGUUGUCCGGCAUUAACAAUGGCAGCAGAGAGGUUGUCAAUCAGUUUCACUGUGUGCAGCCCACACAGUCCUGAGCAGAGGUCUAAUUAGGCAGACUAAGUGAAAACACCUGCUACAGUGAACCAUGUUCCUGCAGGGCAGUAAAACGGAAACUCUACAGCCUUGUUCCUCAUUAGUACGAGGAAAAAAAGAAGAAAUUUCCAGAAAUGCGAACUACUUUGAAAAAUUAUUCAUGGACUGCUGAAGCAGUUUGUGAAAGCAGGCAGUGUUUAAUAGGAUUUUUACCAACAGUAGUUUGGAGAGUUUCAACCCACUUCAAACACAUAAGCAUUUGAUAAUGACGAGGCGGCGGGUCUCCUCCCAUCACCAGGCCGAGAGGCACCGCACCCACCCACUGCUUGGAGCGAACGCACUGCAGACAGUCCAUGAUCCAGCGGGCAUCUCUCCACACCACAUCCAGACGCUGAGGAAAAAGGGAAAGUUAAAGGUUCACCUUGAGCUGCUCGUAGAGCAUGUCCAUGGCAGUGGGCUCGGGCAGCAGAGGUGUUCGGCUGCGGU
This is a non-coding RNA of Plectropomus leopardus (leopard coralgrouper), 850 nucleotides long. Lineage: Eukaryota; Metazoa; Chordata; Actinopteri; Perciformes; Serranidae. The record is from RefSeq and is a predicted model, not a curated record.